GACGAACGCUGGCGGCGUGCUUAACACAUGCAAGUCGAGCGGUAAGGCCCUUCGGGGUACACGAGCGGCGAACGGGUGAGUAACACGUGGGUGACCUGCCUCUAGCUCUGGGAUAAGCCUGGGAAACUGGGUCUAAUACCGGAUAUGACUCCACGGCGCAUGUUGUGGGGUGGAAAGCCUUGUGUGGCUAGAGAUGGGCCCGCGGCCUAUCAGCUUGUUGGUGGGGUGANGGCCUACCAAGGCGACGACGGGUAGCCGGCCUGAGAGGGCGACCGGCCACACUGGGACUGAGACACGGCCCAGACUCCUACGGGAGGCAGCAGUGGGGAAUCUUGCGCAAUGGGCGAAAGCCUGACGCAGCGACGCCGCGUGAGGGAUGACGGCCUCGGUU
Molecule: ribosomal RNA, 391 nt
Filed under: uncultured bacterium
Lineage: Bacteria
Description: bacterial SSU rRNA
Rfam family: Bacterial small subunit ribosomal RNA
Source: RNAcentral